Molecule: long non-coding RNA, 1251 nt
Filed under: Equus caballus (horse)
Lineage: Eukaryota; Metazoa; Chordata; Mammalia; Perissodactyla; Equidae
Description: lncRNA (ENSECAG00000035887.3)
Source: RNAcentral
UAAACAGUGAGACAUCUAGUUGAGUUGAUGUGGCUGCAAAGGAGGAAAAACAGGGAGACUAAGAAAAAGAAGUGAGUUUUAUGGAGCAAUUUGAAGGGGGAAAAAGGAGAGUGAAAAAUGUGAGCUAUUUCAAGAAGCAUACAAGAAAAGUUACCAAACCGAGAGGUCAAAACACAAACAAAAGGAGCAUUGAGGAGAGUCUCCCAGGAGAAGAAAGAACUCGAUGAGAUUCCCUGCUUGCAUCUUUUGGUUGGAAAGAUGAGAGGCAGGGAUGUCCAAGCAAAGAAAACCUUAAUGGUCAUGGAUGAAGGUGACACGGUCAUGGACUAGUGAUUAAUUUCUGGAGAAGAGAAAAAGACAGCAAUUGGAAGUGGGAGAAGACUUGGAUGAAUGAGAAGAAGACUUGAAUGAGAAGAGAAGGGAAAAGGAAUUGAGAGUUCAGAUGGUGACGUUUUAUCACGGGUCGAGGGAGCUGGCCGUUUCUGUCAGGUUAGCGUGGAUCCCUCUUCACAAAGCUCUCUCCAGUUCUCGCCGUGAUGGUGAAAUAGUGUCUUGCGACUCAUUGUCCGUGGACCAGCAACAGCGCCAUCACCUGGGAGCUUGUUAGAAACGCAGAAUCUCAGGACGCUCCUCAGAAUCAGCAUUUUCAUGAGACCGUUAGGUGAUUCACUUCACAUUAAAGUUUGAAAAGCACUGAAAUAAAACAGAUUUGGGAACCAGACAGCGCUGGAAAUCCAUCUCAGAGCGCACGGUCUUGGAGGAGUACAUCAGGGAAUGCUUCUCUCUCACGCAUCUUCCAGCAUGUGGCCAGACCAGCAGGGGCCAUUAUAUGGCAAGGACAUCCAUUCAAAUCAAGCUGAGAGCCUUAGUGUGACUCAAGGACUCUUGUCGGGGCCCCAGGGAAACUCAAGGAUCUGAACAACUCACUCUUCAGCAGAUUCGGACAUUGGCUCCAAUGUUGGAAGAAGGUUUUUCUAAUGGAACAAGCCCCUAUUUCUAGUGACAUUGGUUUAUCUCCUUAAACCAGUCUUUCAUCAGGAAAAAAAUAUGGUGUUUUUAAAGAGGUCGAACAUUUGCCUGUUUUGGACAUCUUAAUAUCAGGCAAUCAAAGGUCAUUUUAGUGUAAUUAUUAAGGUUUAUUUCCUCAUCCGAACAAAAACAUGGAUUUGUUAUUAAACCCAGACCAACAUUCAUUUAACCUGUCUCUUUUCCAUCUUAGUUAUCAUUUAUUUUGGAAAGAGCAAAUAUGUG